This is a long non-coding RNA of Carlito syrichta (Philippine tarsier), 329 nucleotides long. RefSeq lists it as uncharacterized. The transcript has 2 exons. NCBI's taxonomy places the organism in Eukaryota, Metazoa, Chordata, Mammalia, Primates, Tarsiidae. The record is from RefSeq and is a predicted model, not a curated record.
GAGUAGGAGGAGACUGCCCUGGCAACUUCUAAACUAGCCUCGGAUAUCACGCUCUUAAAGGAAUAUGACAAAUCUGAAGACAUAUCUGAGGAGGUAGCUGUAGCUGGACAACGGUAAAGAGGUGCCUGUCCCCAUGGAAGACUCAAGCCUGUCCAGCAGUGUUGAUGUGGACAAAGGCUUUGCCAUUGCCUUUGUCGUUCUUCUCUUUAUAUUCCUAAUUGUAAUGAUUUUUCGGUGUGCCAGGUUGGUGAAGAAUCCCUAUGAGGCCAGCUCCACAACCACAGAACCAUCUCUGAAUUGAAGUAUGAUAAAUCCUGGUAGACACCUCC